AGCUAAUAGAUACCCCGGUAGUCCACGCCCUAAACGAUGUCUACUAGUUGUUGGUGGAGUAAAAUCCAUGAGUAAACGCAGCUAAACGCGUGAAGUAGACCGCCUGGGGAGUACGGUCGCAAGAUUAAAAACUCAAAGGAAUUGACGGGGGCCCGCACAAGCGGUGGAUUAUGUGGAUUAAAUUCGAUGCAACGCGAAAAACCUUACCUGGCCUUGACAUGCCACUAACGAAGCAGAGAUGCAUUAGGUGCCCGUAAGGGAAAGUGGACACAGGUGCUGCAUGGCUGUCGUCAGCUCGUGUCGUGAGAUGUUGGGUUAAGUCCCGCAACGAGCGCAACCCUUGCCAUUAAUUGCCAUCAUUUAGUUGGGCACUUUAAUGGGACUGCCGGUGACAAACCGGAGGAAGGUGGGGAUGACGUCAAGUCCUCAUGGCCCUUAUGGCCAGGGCUUCACACGUAAUACAAUGGUCGGUACAGAGAGUUGCCAACCCGCGAGGGGAGCUAAUCUCAGAAAGCCGAUCGUAGUCCGGAUUGUUCUCUGC
Molecule: ribosomal RNA, 541 nt
Filed under: uncultured bacterium
Lineage: Bacteria
Description: bacterial SSU rRNA
Rfam family: Bacterial small subunit ribosomal RNA
Source: RNAcentral